GCACUGCUGAGUAGUCCGACAAUAGGGCGAAACGGCCGUCCAGUGC
This is a non-coding RNA of Schistosoma haematobium, 46 nucleotides long. The record is from Rfam. NCBI's taxonomy places the organism in Eukaryota, Metazoa, Platyhelminthes, Trematoda, Strigeidida, Schistosomatidae.